UACGUAGGCAGCGAGCGUUGUUCGGAGUUACUGGGCGUAAAGGGUGUGUAGGCGGUUCUUUAAGUUUGGUGUGAAAUCUCCCGGCUCAACUGGGAGGGUGCGCCGAAUACUGAGGGACUAGAGUACGGGAGAGGAAAGUGGAAUUCCUGGUGUAGCGGUGAAAUGCGUAGAUAUCAGGAGGAACACCGGUGGUGUAGACGGCUUUCUGGACCGUAACUGACGCUGAGACACGAAAGCGUGGGUAGCAAACAGG
Molecule: ribosomal RNA, 253 nt
Filed under: uncultured bacterium
Lineage: Bacteria
Description: partial 16S ribosomal RNA
Rfam family: Bacterial small subunit ribosomal RNA
Source: RNAcentral